Molecule: non-coding RNA, 1957 nt
Organism: Ictidomys tridecemlineatus (thirteen-lined ground squirrel)
Lineage: Eukaryota; Metazoa; Chordata; Mammalia; Rodentia; Sciuridae
Source: RefSeq, a predicted model, not a curated record
AUAUGCAGAUUUUAUAUAUAAAAGAUAAUAGUCUUGUUGCAUUUUAUAUACUUAGUAUUUGCCUGAAAGAAUAUUAUGUGUUUCUUUCUUUUUCUCUAUUAGGCACAUUGAGAAAACAUCUAAUUUAAAGAGCAAGGUCAAAAAAUGGAAGACCUUGAUGAAUCAGAGCCAACUUUAAUAGCCUCAAUGGCCUUUCAAAUGACUUGCCCUAAUUAUAAGGAUAUUUGGGCAUACAUUGAAAAACCAAGCACUUCACAUGAAGAUCCUCAUAGCCUACCAAAAAUCCAAAAAGCAUUUGAUUCAUGUCAAAGAAUAAUAGAACUUGACAAAAGUCACUGUUCACAGUGUUUAUUACAUAUACAAGAAGUGGAAAAAGGAGAAAAUAAACUUUGUGGAAUGAAAGAGAAAUUAUCAGAAAUGGAAAAUAUGAAAUCUAAGUUAGAGCAGAGAGAAAUAAAAUGGAAACAAGAACUCUGCCACUUGAGGCAUGAUUUAAAAGAAAAAGAGAAGAAGUUAAGAGAUUUUGAUCAGCUUUUGGAAAAAAUGAAUAACCAGUUAAGAGAAAAAGAUGAGAAACAUAAUAAACAAAUUGAAUUGAACAAAGAAUUUCAACUGUCUUAUGGGACAUUGAAGGCAGAAUUAAAGACUGCAAGAAGUAACUCAAAUCAGGCCAAUAAUCUCAAUACAAACCUAGAAGCUACAUUUUCAAAAUAUUUACGGUUGGAUGGACAAUUUGAACUUGCUUUUAAAAGCCUACAAAAUACAUGUGAAAAAACACAGAACAACCAAAAGUAGUUGGAAGAAGAUUUCGCAAACCUCAAAGUAUAUGUGCAAGACAAUAAAAUUAAAAAUGGUCAAGAAGAGCCUCAUAGAUGUGAGAUUAGACAAAGAACAAGAGAGAUUUUAGAGGAAAACCAAAAACGAGCAUCUCUAUUUUCAGAGACAUUUAAUAGAGCUUCAAAAAUUUUAGAGGAGUUGAAUGAAAAUAAUGAGUUUUCAUUAAUGAAGUUGAUGCAAUUCAGAAUUGAAAAGCUAGAAUCUCAAGUGUCUGAAAUCAAAAAUGAAAUUUCUGAUAAAACACCAAGAAUCAGUAAGAGCCUUCAGGAGGUUAGUAGCAGAUUCCCAGUGAAAACAGAGAGGUUGUUUACCCUGCUCUCACUGUGGGAGGCCAGUCCCAGGGUGUCCUUGUGUCAGACUUAAAAGGGACAACUGGGUACACAACAGAAGUUUUAACCAGGGAGAAAACAUAGCAGGUGCUAUUUCCAACCCACAGCCUUCAUGUCAAAUCCUUGAGGAUAAUCUGGCUGAGGUGAGUUAUGCUUUGUUUAUCUUUUGGGUUUCAGAUUUCUGAUUUGCCUUGUUUUGACUUUGUUGAAAUACUGAGUUGUUUAGUUGACUUAUGAACAUUAAGUGAAGGUCAUGAUAAUCUAUAGCUAUACAGAUUAAAAAAAGAAUUUUCAAUUUUUAUAAAGUAUCUGGGAGUCUUUUUAAAAAUGAUACUUGUUAACUUUAUUCAACCAAAAUGAUAUUUUUACCUUUCCUUUAACUUAAAGUAGAUUUUUUCAUUGAAUUAAAUGUUUGAAAGAAAUAAACAUUGGUUUAAAGCUUUGAUGGAGUUUUCAUGAUCUUCUUAACUCACAGAAAAAUAGUACAGACCUAUGUUAAAUCAGGCCUCAAUCUGAUGUUUCCUUUUGCCUUUGGAUUCUAGUGAAAUCAAGAGAAGAGCAAAUAUAAGAUUCAUAAAAAUCCAUGAAGUCAAAGGUGCUAAAAAAGGGAACAAAUUAAAUAACUUUUAGUGUGUAAUUAUAAGAUCCUAGCUAGGUGAUAUUUUUUUUUCCAUUAGUUUGUUAGCUUACAUGAUAUAUUUCUGAAAAAAAAAAAGAUAGAUCUAGGAUUGAAGAGUCUCUCAUCCAUGAAAUUGGAACACUGCACACCAAAAAAAAAAAAAAGAAAGAAA